Molecule: long non-coding RNA, 3165 nt
Filed under: Sus scrofa (pig)
Lineage: Eukaryota; Metazoa; Chordata; Mammalia; Artiodactyla; Suidae
Description: lncRNA (ENSSSCG00055029162.1)
Source: RNAcentral
AAGUCAGUUCCCUUUCAAUACCUUUCCCAUACCCCGCCCAGUGAUGUCUGAUUUUAUCUUUCUGGCUACCUUAAUUAGUGCAGCAGGCCAGGAUAUGUACACUGCCACUCACUAAUAUAGCAGUUUGAUUUGUAGGAAAGAAGAAAGGUAUUCGGUGAGCAACUAGCAGUUUGCCACAAUUUAGAUCUUUUAUAUAAAAAAAACCUUCCAUUUUAGUUAAAUCCCUUCCCUCCCUCCUCAGAAUUACCCAUAUAUGAAUUUGGUAUAUUAUUUUCAUGCAUAUUAUGUUACCUUUACAAUGUAUGUUUAUGUCCAUGAACAGUCUUAUUUUAAUAUGCUUUAAAGCAGUGUAUAUAGGAACAUACUGUACAUAUCCUGUAGACAGGUUUUUUCCUUCAUUCCACAUUGUUUACCCAGAUUGAUGCAUAUAGUUUUAGUUUAAUUUUACCUGCUAUGUGGAAUUGUUAUACAGUUCAUAUAUAUAUUUUCUUCUUCUCUCUCUUUUUUUUUUUUUUUUGGGGUCUUUUAUCUUUUCAGGGCUGCGCUUACAGCAUAUGGAGGUUCCCAGGCUAGGAGUCCAAUCGGAGCUACAGCUGCCAGCCUAUGCCAGAGCUACAGCAACACCAGAUCCGAGCUGUGUCCUACACCACAGCCCACUGUAACGCUGGAUCCUUAACCCACUGAGCAAGGCCAGGAAUCGAACCCACAACCUCAUGGUUCCUAGUCAGAUUCGUUUCCGCGUGCCACAACGGGAACUCCCAUUUUCUUCUUGAUGCACAUUUAGUGGUUAAUUUGCCCCCUCAUUAUAAACAAUGCUGUAGUCUUUGUGUCUCCUCGAAUUCACAUGCAAGAGUUUCUCUGGGAUAUGUAGCAAGAGUCUUUCUGGGAUAUGUACCUAGAAGUGGAAUUAUUGAGUGAUAGGGCAGUGCUUUCUUCAGCUUUACUACAUAUUGUCAGGUUGCUUUGCAGAGUGGCUGUGCCACAUUACACUUGGAACAGCGUGGUAUGAGUGGCCCAUUUCUUUAUUCCUUACUAAUAACACUUUGUGCUUUUGCUAAUCUAUUGAGGUCAAAUUCAUUUCCCUGAAUACUACUGAGAUUGAGUAUAUCUUCAUAUGUUCACUGGCUGUUUAUGUUUUCUUGGUUGUAAUUUGCUCGUUCUUGCUUUUCAGCCUCUUUUUCACUGUUUGCAUUGUUUCGAUUUGGAGAAGUUUUUAAUACAUACUGAAACUAAUCUUUUGCUGAUUAUUUCUGUAAUGGAUAUUUCCCCCCUAAUCUUUUGGCUUAUCAUUUCAAUGUCUAUGAUAUCUUUGUUUUAAAAUUUUUAAUUUUCAUGUAGUAAUUAUUAAUUUUUUCUUUAAUGGUCUGUGCUUUUUGAGUAUUGUUUAAGAAAUUCUUCUGUAACCAAGGACAUAAAGAUAUUUACCUAUAUUUUCUUUUAAAGUUUUAGAUACUUGUAUGUGACCAAGGGGUCUGAUCGUGGGCUCUCUUCUGUUUUGUUGGUCUUUAAUGUCUCUGCCCAUGAUUCACACUGAUUUAAGUACUAUAGCUUGAUGGCUAGACCACGGAGUUCCCUUACCUUGUUGUUCAAAAUCUUACUGGCUUUCAUGGCUUUGUUGUGUAUGAUUUUAGCAUCUGCUUUUAAAGUUCUAUAAAAAAUUAUACUGAGAUUUUAAUCAAAGCUGUAUUAAGUAUAUAGAUUAAUAUUGAGAGAAUUAUUUACUAUGAUAAAUCUUUUAUAUGCCAGCAUGCUAUCUUCAUUUUUGAAAAGGUCUUUCUGAGCAAUUUUCUAGUUUUUUUUGGCAAAAGAAUUCAGUGAGUUUUGUAUGAUGGUCUUGAAUCCAGCAACAUUGCUGGAAGUUCAUUAGUUCUGGUUGUCUUCAUUUUCUACCGUUUCUUUUGGUUUUGUUCUGUUUUCUUCUUUCCAAUUCUUAAAUCUCUUGUUUCUUUUUCUUACUUUACUGUUCUAGAUAGGAACUCCAGUACAUUGUUGGGAAGAAAAAAUGACAGAUGGCAUUUUUGCUCUUUUCCUAACUUCAAAGGGAAUGCUUCCAACUCUUAAAGAUUAAACAUUUUGUUUACUCUACAUUUAGGGCAGAUAUCCUUUAUCAGGUAGGCAGAGUUCAUUCUUAUUUCUAAUUUUCUAGAAUUUCUUUUGUUUUUGGCUUAAAUGUCAUGAAUAGAUGUUGGGUUGUAUUAUUUCACAAAAUAAAAGUCCCUCAUGACUAGAUAGUUAACGCUUACUCUCACCUCUAUCCUUUGUUCUAAUUUUGUCAUACGUUACGUCUUCGUAUUAAUAACUUGUACAAUACAGUUAUAAAUUUUGUUUUUUUUUUAAGAGUUAAGUUUUAUAAUUUAUUUAACUCCUUAGGUAAAUAUGACUUGUAUUUCUUUCUUUUCUUUUUUUUUUUUUUUUUUUUUUUUGUCUUUUUGCUAUUUCUUUGGGCAGCUCCCGCGGCAUAUGGAGGUUCCCAGGCUAGGGAUUGAAUCGGAGCCACAGCCCCCGGCCUACGCCAGAGCCACAGCAACGCGGGAUCCGAGCUGCAUCUGCAACCUACACCACAGCUCACGGCAAUGCCAGAUCGUUAACCCACUGAGCAAGGGCAGGGACCGAACCCUCAACCUCAUGGUUCCUAGUUGGAUUCGUUAACCACUGCGCCACGACGGGAACUCCUAAAUUUUGUUUUAAUCAACCAUCUCUUUUAAGAAAUCAAGAGGAGGAUUCCUGUUGUGGCUCAGUGGGUUAGGAACCUGACUAGUAUCCAUGAGAACUUGAGUUUGAUACCUGGCCUCUCUUGGUGGGUUAAGGAUCUGCCAUUGCUAUGAGCUGUGGUGUAGGUCGCAGACUCGGCUUGGAUCUGGUGUUUCUGUGACUGUGGUGUAGGCCGGCAGUGGUGGCUCCAACUCGGCCCUUAACCUGGGAACUUCCAUAUGCUGCAGGUGUGGCCCUAAAAAAAGCCUAAAUAUAUCUCUCUCUCUCAAGAGGGAUAGAGUUCCCACUUGAUUGCAGUGGGUGGUGCAAUGGGAUUGGUGGCAUCUCUGGAGUGCUGGGAUGCAGGUUCAGUCCCCAGCCCCACACAGUGUUUUAAAGAUCUCAUGUUGUUGCAGUGUAGCAUAGAUCACAACUCUCUUUCAUAUCUGACUCCUGGCACAGGAAUUCCAUAUG